Molecule: small nuclear RNA, 321 nt
Filed under: Vulpes vulpes (red fox)
Lineage: Eukaryota; Metazoa; Chordata; Mammalia; Carnivora; Canidae
Description: 7SK RNA (ENSVVUG00000018949.1)
Rfam family: 7SK RNA
About the family: 7SK was discovered as an abundant small nuclear RNA in the mid-70s but a possible function has only recently been suggested. Two independent studies have found that 7SK RNA binds the CDK9/cyclin T complex (known as elongation factor P-TEFb).
Source: Rfam by way of RNAcentral
GGAUGUGAGGGCGAUCUGGCUGCGACAUCUGUCACCCCAUUGAUCACCAGGGUUGAUUCGGCUGAUCUGGCUGGCUAGGCGGGUGUCCCCUUCCUCCCUCACCGCUCCAUGUGCGUCCCUCCCGAAGCUGCGCGCUCGGUCGAAGAGGACGACCAUCCCCAAUAGAGGAGGACCGUUCGGUCAAGGGUAUACGAGUAGCUGCGCUCCCCUGCUAGAACCUCCAAACAAGCUCUCAAGAAACCAGAGAUUAUGACUUGGUGACAUCUGGAGAUGUGACAUUUAAAAAUGAAUUUUCACAAGUUGUGAGAUUCAGUGCCUUUU